AUUGAACGCUGGCGGCAGGCCUAACACAUGCAAGUCGAACGGUAACAGGAAGCAGCUUGCUGCUUUGCUGACGAGUGGCGGACGGGUGAGUAAUGUCUGGGAAACUGCCUGAUGUAGGGGGAUAACUACUGGAAACGGUAGCUAAUACCGCAUAACGUCGCAAGACCAAAGAGGGGGACCUUCGGGCCUCUUGCCAUCGGCUGUGCCCAGAUGGGAUUAGCUAGUAGGUGGGGUAACGGCUCACCUAGGCGACGAUCCCUAGCUGGUCUGAGAGGAUGACCAGCCACACUGGAACGGAGACACGGUCCAGACUCCUACGGGAGGCAGCAGUGGGGAAUAUUGCACAAUGGGCGCAAGCCUGAUGCAGCCAGGCCGCGUGUAUGAAGAAGGCCUUCGGGUUGUAAAGUACUUUCAGCGGGGAGGAAGGGAGUAAAGUUAAUACCUUUGCUCAUUGACGUUACCCGAAGAAGAAGCACCGGCUAACUCCGUG
This 490-nucleotide ribosomal RNA is filed under the name uncultured bacterium. Its description in RNAcentral is "partial 16S ribosomal RNA". It matches the Rfam family "Bacterial small subunit ribosomal RNA", at positions 30 to 507 of the family's 1533-position model. The record is from RNAcentral.